Molecule: ribosomal RNA, 406 nt
Filed under: uncultured bacterium
Lineage: Bacteria
Description: partial 16S ribosomal RNA
Rfam family: Bacterial small subunit ribosomal RNA
Source: RNAcentral
AUUGAACGCUGGCGGCAGGCCUAACACAUGCAAGUCGAGCGAGCGGCGGACGGGUGAGUAAUGUCUGGGAAACUGCCUGAUGGAGGGGGAUAACUACUGGAAACGGUAGCUAAUACCGCAUACCAUCAGAUGUGCCCAGAUGGGAUUAGCUAGUAGGUGGGGUAAUGGCUCACCUAGGCGACGAUCCCUAGCUGGUCUGAGAGGAUGACCAGCGACAGUGAAACUGAGAAAAGGUCCAGACUCAUACGGGAGGCAGAAGUGGGGAAUAUUGCACAAUGGGCGCAAGCCUGAUGCAGCCAUGCCGCGUGUGUGAAGAAGGCCUUCGGGUUGGAAAGCACUUUAAGCGAGGAGGCGUUACUCGCAGAAUAAGCACCGGCUAACUCUGUGCCAGCAGCCGCGGUAAUUC